Molecule: ribosomal RNA, 498 nt
Filed under: uncultured bacterium
Lineage: Bacteria
Description: partial 16S ribosomal RNA
Rfam family: Bacterial small subunit ribosomal RNA
Source: RNAcentral
GACGAACGCUGGCGGCGUGCCUAAUACAUGCAAGUCGAGCGGACGGAUGGGAGCUUGCUCCCAGACCGUCAGCGGCGGACGGGUGAGUAACACGUGGGCAACCUGCCUGUAAGACUGGGAUAACUCCGGGAAACCGGGGCUAAUACCGGAUAACUCUUUCGCUCACAUGAGGGAAAGCUGAAAGAUGGCAUCUCGCUAUCACUUACAGAUGGGCCCGCGGCGCAUUAGCUAGUUGGUGAGGUAACGGCUCACCAAGGCGGCGAUGCGUAGCCGACCUGAGAGGGUGAUCGGCCACACUGUGACUGAGACACGUCCCAGACUCCUACGGGAGGCAGCAGUAGGGAAUCCUCCGCAAUGGACGAAAGUCUGACGGAGCAACGCCGCGUGAGUGAUGAAGGUUUUCGGAUCGGAAAGCUCUGUUGUCAGGGAAGAACAAGUACCGGAGUAACUGCCGGUACCUUGACGGUACCGGACCAGAAAGCCACGGCUAACUACGUG